RNAcentral lists this ribosomal RNA (301 nucleotides) under uncultured bacterium. Its description in RNAcentral is "partial 16S ribosomal RNA". It matches the Rfam family "Bacterial small subunit ribosomal RNA", at positions 509 to 809 of the family's 1533-position model. The record is from RNAcentral.
CAGCCGCCGCGGUAAUACGUAGGGUGCGAGCGUUAAUCGGAAUUACUGGGCGUAAAGCGUGCGCAGGCGGUUGUGUAAGACAGGUGUGAAAUCCCCGGGCUUAACCUGGGAACUGCGCUUGUGACUGCACAGCUAGAGUAUGGCAGAGGGGGGUGGAAUUCCACGUGUAGCAGUGAAAUGCGUAGAGAUGUGGAGGGACACCGAUGGCGAAGGCAGCCCCCUGGGCCAAUACUGACGCUCAUGCACGAAAGCGUGGGGAGCAAACAGGAUUAGAUACCCCGGUAGUCCCUGUCUCUUAUAA